UACUGAUUAAAGUUAUGAUAGAAUGUCAGAACCAGCUGUUUCCAUUGCUGAUUCAGAGUCUAUAAAGAGUGAUAUACUGUCUGCCAUCAAGAGCAUUUGCUUGGGUUGUCUGGAGAGAUUGCAGAACCCCUCAGUAUACUCUUGCUUUGUGAACAAUGAAUGAACAUACUGUCACAUCUGUCAUAUAUCAAAUAGAAGUUGUGCUGCUAUGUCUGAGCACUUUCACAAAACUGAUCAAUUUUUGAUUGAUGAAUUUCACAAAAUGCUGCUCUCUGAUGAAGUU
Molecule: small RNA, 283 nt
Filed under: Histoplasma ohiense
Lineage: Eukaryota; Fungi; Ascomycota; Eurotiomycetes; Onygenales; Ajellomycetaceae
Description: hypothetical lncRNA
Source: RNAcentral